RNAcentral lists this ribosomal RNA (253 nucleotides) under uncultured bacterium. RNAcentral's name for it is "partial 16S ribosomal RNA". It matches the Rfam family "Bacterial small subunit ribosomal RNA", at positions 524 to 776 of the family's 1533-position model. The record is from RNAcentral.
GACAGAGGUGCCGAGCGUUAGGCGGAAUCACUGGGCUUAAAGCGUGUGUAGGCGGAUUUUUAAGUACUUUGUGAAAUCCCACGGCUUAACCGUGGAACUGCUUGGUAUACUGGAAAUCUUGAGCCACUUAGGGGCGAGCGGAACAAAUGGUGGAGCGGUGAAAUGCGUAGAUAUCAUUUGGAACGCCAAAGGUGAAAACAGCUCGCUGGGAGUGCUCUGACGCUGAGACACGAAAGCGAGGGUAGCGAACGGG